This is a long non-coding RNA of Pieris brassicae (large cabbage white), 257 nucleotides long. RefSeq lists it as uncharacterized. NCBI's taxonomy places the organism in Eukaryota, Metazoa, Arthropoda, Insecta, Lepidoptera, Pieridae. The record is from RefSeq and is a predicted model, not a curated record. The transcript has 3 exons.
AAAAUUGUAUUCUGUAUUCAUAAUGAACGCCAAAGCGAUAUUUUUAGUUUGCCUUAUGCUGGUAUGCUUGAUAGCAUCCGCCUACGCUUCUGCUAAUCCAGGAGGCGAUUUAAUAAGUUCAAAUCCAUCCAAUAGAGCUACAGACAACAACGGACAAAAUUCAAAUCUCGGUCAAGCGCAAAAGGAACGAAAAGGACUAUUUGGUUGAAAAUUUACUUCCCGAUGGUUUAUAAAUAAAACUUUGAAUAAUAAUUAAA